GGUUUCUUAAGUCUGAUGUGAAAGCCCACGGCUCCUUUGAGGGGGGGUCGUUGGAAACUGGGGAACUUGAGUGCAGACCAUAAGGGGGAAUUCCACGUGUAGCGGUGAAAUGCGUAGAGAUGUGGAGGAACACCAGUGGCGAAGGCUGCUUUUUGGUCUGGAACUGACGCUGAGGCGCGAAAGCGGGGGGAGCAAACAGGAUUAAAUACCCUGGUACUCCACGCCGUAAACGAUGAGUGCUAAGUGUUAGAGGGUUUCCGCCCUUUAAUGGUGCAACUAACGCAUUAAGCACUCCGCCGGGGGAGUACGGUCGCAAGACUGAAACUCAAAGGAAUUGACGGGGGCCCGCACAAGCGGGGGAGCAUGUGUUUUAAU
This 375-nucleotide ribosomal RNA is filed under the name Priestia flexa. RNAcentral's name for it is "Bacillus flexus partial 16S ribosomal RNA". It matches the Rfam family "Bacterial small subunit ribosomal RNA", at positions 577 to 950 of the family's 1533-position model. The record is from RNAcentral. Lineage: Bacteria; Bacillati; Bacillota; Bacilli; Caryophanales; Bacillaceae.